UGAGGAAUAUUGCGCAAUGGGCGAAAGCCUGACGCAGCGACACCGCGUGAAGGAUGAAGGCUUUCGGGUUGUAAACUUCUGUUAAGUGGGAAGAAAAAGGCGGUCCUAAUACGACCGCAAACUGACGGUACCACUAGAGAAAGCACCGGCUAACUUCGUGCCAGCAGCCGCGGUAAGACGAGGGGUGCGAACGUUAUUCGGAAUGAUUGGGCGUAAAGGGUGCGUAGGCGGCUUAUUAAGUCAACUGUUAAAUUUCUCAGCCUAACUGGGAACAUGCGGUAGAAACUGAUAGGCUUGAGGGUGGAAGAGAGAAGUGGAAUUCUCGGAGUAGCGGUAAAAUGCGUAGAUCUCGAGAGGAACACCGAUGGCGAAGGCAGCUUCUUGGUCCAUUUCUGACGCUGAGGCACGAAAGCGUGGGGAGCAAACAGG
RNAcentral lists this ribosomal RNA (429 nucleotides) under uncultured bacterium. RNAcentral describes it as "bacterial SSU rRNA". It matches the Rfam family "Bacterial small subunit ribosomal RNA", at positions 355 to 776 of the family's 1533-position model. The record is from RNAcentral.